GGUGCUGAGUAUAGGGACUGCCAGUGGCUUAGAAUCUUUCAAUGAUGCUUGUGGAUGAAGAAAUGGUUCCUAAAUCACAGUCUGGAGCUUCCAAUAUGAUUCCAAGGAAGUCUAUUUGAAAUAUGGCCCUGUUACAACCAGAGAUAGGGCUUUGUUCGGUCAGAUGGGUCCAGGUUUCCCUUUGAUGAUGUUACUCAUUAAAAUCUCUAAAUAUUUCUCCAGACAAUUAAGAAGAGUUGAUGAACAUUCGCCCAGUUUCCCUGAGAGGCCAGCUGGUGCUAAGGUGGAGCUCUGGGGACUGGAGAGGAGGAGGAGUCAGAGUCUGCUUCCUUGA
This 334-nucleotide long non-coding RNA is filed under the name Mus spicilegus (steppe mouse). RNAcentral describes it as "lncRNA (ENSMSIG00000012282.1)". Lineage: Eukaryota; Metazoa; Chordata; Mammalia; Rodentia; Muridae. The record is from RNAcentral.